This is a long non-coding RNA of Jaculus jaculus (lesser Egyptian jerboa), 494 nucleotides long. RefSeq lists it as uncharacterized. The record is from RefSeq and is a predicted model, not a curated record. The transcript has 3 exons. Lineage: Eukaryota; Metazoa; Chordata; Mammalia; Rodentia; Dipodidae.
GGCCCUUGCCCUCGAAUAGGUGGCGGAUGUCACGUGACGCCUCCAGAACUCGCGAGUCCUGUGGAUUCCCCAAGUGUUCCUGUGGCAGUGGAGGGAGCUUAGUGUGGAUGUGACAAUGUGACUCUGGCAUCCUGUCCUUGCAAUGCUUCCCUCACCGUGUUGAAACUACCUCUUAGAUGUCUCUGAAGCUCUGAGGAAUUCCAUUUCUACUGUAGCUUUUGGUCGUUGGGUCGAACCACCACCUUUCUUUCGGAAUUCUGCAGCAAUUUCCUCAAAAGACUUCCCUUUGGUUUCUGGCACUUUAAAAAAUGUGAACAGGGUAAAGGCCAGGAGCACCCCAGAGAAGAUGAAGAACACAUAGGGUCCACAGAGGUCCUGGAAAGAGAGCAGACAGCCCCGUUACCAGCUGCCAGGCCUGCCUCCUGUUCUGCAAAUGUGCACAAGUCAGGCUGCUUACCACCAUGUACUGGAAACACAGAGCUAUCAGGAAAUUG